CGCAGGAACCCAUACGAGCCCCUCGGUCCGCUAGAUCCGUGCAAUUCCUUAUAUAGACUCGGCCGCAGCCAGCGGCAGGGCCGUAGCCGCCCAUUAUUCUCCAAACAGGUACCGGGCGGGCGGGGGCCGCGCUCCGGCCUCGGCCCUGUCGCCGCAGGAACUGUCCAGACAAUACCCACCAGCAGACGGUCGCCGCGGAGCGGGCGGGCGGGCGGGCGCAGCAUCGCCCCCCAGAUAAGCAGAAAUGCAACCAACUUCCACCGUCUCUCCCCACCGCAAAGGGCGACUGUGCAACCCAACACAUGUUCGGGGCUCGCUCGCUCGCUCUCCGGUUAUUAUUGUUAUUUUUCUAAACUCUCACGCCAGGCAGAUGGGUGUGUGUGUGUGUGUGUGUGUGUGCGCGCGCCCCUCCCCGCGCAGCAUCAGCACUCAUUAGUAAACCCGGCGGCCGCCGCCGCCGCCGGGCGGGCAGCGGCGACCCGCGUCCGUCGGUCCGGCCGCCCCCCUCCCCCACACUCCUUCCACCCGAGACCCCGAGCGCCGUCCAAGCUCCCUCCGCCGGUUUCACGCCCCGCGCGUCCGGCCCAGGUGGAGAAUCACAGCCUCUGAUUGAUCUCCAAGGUUCGAUUUGAGUUUUUAAUUCACCAAAAGUGAUUGCUGAAAAAUUAACUAUUUUUUCCCAUGAUUUUAAAAAAUUAUUUUUUUCCCAAAACAAACUUGGAUGGAAUGUUACACAUGAAAUAAUUGACUUAAGAAGAAUCUAAAGCCACUCCAAGUCUUUUGUUUCCAACUUUAUGAUCAAGCACCCCUAAGGCUGUAUAACUCAGUGGGGAUUAAUAGGGAUUGAGUCAGCCAUAAAUAAUCAAUAAAAAGAAAGCAACUUAGUACAAUGGUCUUAAAUCCAAGUUCACAGUUUGCCUGACAAUGGACAGUCCAGUGAGAUUCAUAGUGGCCAAGAUAUAAAUCUCCACUAAAUAAGCUUCCUAAAAGAAACACUAACUCAACCAUAUUCUAAAAAUUGUGAUGUUACAUAAAAAGGACUUUGAGUUUGCUGAUCUUUGUAAUAGUGGAAAAGCAUUAAUAAAUGGAAAAUCAUCCUAAAGUUUUAGGUUUUUCUUUUCAAACCAUGGAAUAAAUUUGGCUUCUGUCACUGACCAGCAAAGUGCCCAGGACUUGAAGGACCAAUACCCCAGAGAAAAAGGACAUUGAGGAAAGUUCAGCAUUUGACAUCAUUUUUCUCUUAUCUUUUCAAAGCUCAAGCUGUGCAGGUCAAAGCCUAGGAAACUAGGCAGAAAACACUGAAACACAGUGUGGAAUUUUCAACAGUCUCAUGAUCCUUGAGAAACAAAAGUUGGAUUUCAGAAUCUGUCCAGAGGGGAGGGGGUGCACAGUAAACUUCACCUGGAAUCCCUGGGGGUUAGUGUACUAUUAAUAUUAAGCCUGUGGGUAAACCAAGCCUUAUAAAGAGCACCAGAGCACCUCACAUCAGCUCAAUCUUGAUUGGAUUGAACUCAUCUGAUCCCAUUCUGGCUCACAGAAUAGAGGAAAGCCUCUUUGAAGAAAAACAAUAGCAUCCAAGGCCA
This 1583-nucleotide long non-coding RNA is filed under the name Capra hircus (goat). Its description in RNAcentral is "lncRNA (ENSCHIG00000001920.1)". Lineage: Eukaryota; Metazoa; Chordata; Mammalia; Artiodactyla; Bovidae. The record is from RNAcentral.